RNAcentral lists this ribosomal RNA (467 nucleotides) under uncultured bacterium. RNAcentral describes it as "partial 16S ribosomal RNA". It matches the Rfam family "Bacterial small subunit ribosomal RNA", at positions 28 to 507 of the family's 1533-position model. The record is from RNAcentral.
GACGAACGCUGGCGGCGUGCUUAACACAUGCAAGUCGAACGGAAAGGCCCUGCUUUUGUGGGGUGCUCGAGUGGCGAACGGGUGAGUAACACGUGAGUAACCUGCCCUUGACUUUGGGAUAACUUCAGGAAACUGGGGCUAAUACCGGAUAGGAGCUCCUGCUGCAUGGUGGGGGUUGGAAAGUUUCGGCGGUUGGGGAUGGACUCGCGGCUUAUCAGCUUGUUGGUGGGGUAGUGGCUUACCAAGGCUUUGACGGGUAGCCGGCCUGAGAGGGUGACCGGCCACAUUGGGACUGAGAUACGGCCCAGACUCCUACGGGAGGCAACAGUGGGGAAUAUUGCACAAUGGCGGAAGCCUGAUGCAGCAACGCCGCGUGCGGGAUGACGGCCUUCGGGUUGUAAACCGCUUUCGCCUGUGACGAAGCGUGAGUGACGGUAAUGGGUAAAGAAGCACCGGCUAACUACGUG